AACCUUAUUCAUCAAGAAUAGGCAAAAAGUGGGAAUUCAGUAUACUCAAAUGAAUGAACAUUACAUCCUCGUUUUCAUACAAGUCGUCGAUUAAUUUUUGAAUAUCUUCUCUGACAGAAUCUUUUGCAGGUACAUCGAUAGCCGUUUCUUCCAGAGGAAUAUGGAUUAAACGAGAAUCUUUGAUUUCAUAGUUUUUAGAUCGAAAAUGAUGAGCCACCUGGUUUAAACUAGAGGGCUCGGUUAAAAUCAAAAAUUCACCUUCAUCUUCUUCGUCUAUGUACUCUUUGGGCCUAUUGACUAUGUCCUCUGCGCCAGCUUCAAUAGCAUCGUCGAGAACAUCUUCAAAUUUCAUAGAAUCUCGUUUUUCUGGAGGAAGAUUUACUUCCACCUUACCCUUUUUGCUAAACAAAAAUUUGACAGUCGAUAAAGAAGCCCCAUGAUUUCGUAAAAUAUGUUUGAUUGAAGAAGCAGCUCGAGCUCGAUUGUCUGUAACCGCUUCAACUAUAAGACCGACUCCUGAUGGAUGCAUUGCUUCAUACUCAAUAAAAUGAACUUGCGAACCUUCACUUCCAGCCGUACCCAAUCCUCGAUUAAUUGCAUUUUCAAUACCAGAUUUCGGCAUGGAUAUUUUCUUGGCACUCUCUAGUAGUGUCGCCAGCCGCAUAUUCAAUUCAGGAUUGGCACCUUCUUGUCGAACUGCUAGAAUGAUUCCCUGUGAAAGUCUGGAUACACAGUAAUAUUAGUAACUGUUAUUAGAUAGUAGUGUGAAACAAGACGAGCCCUUACUUUCCAAUUUGUAAACUUCUUGCCUGGUCAUUCGCCGAUUUUUUGUGCUUAAUUUUUGACCACUCUAUAAAGGUUAAUAUGCGUAUAUAAAACUGGUAACAUUAUAGUGUCUAUGGAUCUUAUAAAUUCACUGUUGUUGACAGUAACCCAGUUUGCAAGAAAACCUGAACAUUCACUUAAUUGUAUGUUCGAGCAAUUAACUGAACACUUUAUAAAAGUGGAUAUGAAUACAGUUCAAAUUUUAUCACUUUCAAUUCUUCUGUCUUAUGUGAAAGAUCCCAGUAAUUCAGCAAAGAAUCAUAGUCAACAUUGAGUAGCCUACAUUCUUUACUACAAUGGGUCUCGUUUUUUACUUUUGUUUUAUCUUGAAAAUUCAUAGAAGCAAAAACACUAUAACUAGCUUAUAAAUCAAUAACUUACUGUUAUGCCCAGACAUAAUCCAUCCUGAAGUCGUGAAUGAUCGGAACCUUGAAAAAUGAUACAGCGCUCUUGUGAAAGGUAUUUUAUUUAAAGCAUUCAUUAUCCUUGUAUGCUACGAAGUGACCACUGACCACAAUUAGGAUAAAACAAGGAAAACUGAUAUGAGAGGAGAGGGAGUUGAAGUAGGGAAUACUAGCACUCGAAUCAGCAUCUCUAUAAAGAAAACAGUAUUUCUGCUUU
Molecule: non-coding RNA, 1446 nt
Organism: Schizosaccharomyces pombe (fission yeast)
Lineage: Eukaryota; Fungi; Ascomycota; Schizosaccharomycetes; Schizosaccharomycetales; Schizosaccharomycetaceae
Source: the annotation of a GenBank genome assembly